GACGAACCGUGCGAACGUUGUUCGGAAUCACUGGGCUUAAAGGGCGCGUAGGCGGGCCAGCAAGUCAGGGGUGAAAGCCCACGGCUCAACCGUGGAAGUGCCUCUGAUACUGUUGGCCUCGAGGGAGGUAGGGGCGUGCGGAACUUCCGGUGGAGCGGUGAAAUGCGUAGAUAUCGGAAGGAACAUCGGUGGCGAAAGCGGCGCGCUGGACCUCUACUGACGCUGAGGCGCGAAAGCCAGGGGAGCAAACGGG
Molecule: ribosomal RNA, 253 nt
Filed under: uncultured bacterium
Lineage: Bacteria
Description: partial 16S ribosomal RNA
Rfam family: Bacterial small subunit ribosomal RNA
Source: RNAcentral